GUUUCGUGCGCACCUCCGGGCGGAAUUACCGGCCGGCUGGGACCCCGCUCCCGGUCUGAGCCACCCAGGUUAUAGAAGGGGAAUCUCGGGAAGCUUUCCAAGUCACUGCCCACGUCUUCGAACUUCCUCGGGGUGACGAGGACCUCCCUAUUAGGAGGUCCAGAGAGAAUUUGCCCAAAGUUACCCCGAGUGAGUGACAGAACUGGAAACCCGGAGAUCCUGUCUUUCAAAACCGGAAGGCUCUUCCCAGUAAACCUGACGGCCUCUGACUGAGGCCGUAUCCAUUGGCUACCAAAGGGAAGGCCGAGGAACCUCGUAUUGUAACCUUAACAGCUACUCAGAGGUAUACUGACCACUGGUUUUACUUUUGGAUUGCACCUUAGAAUCCUAACUUACUGUAAGGACCCACCGACUUUAGAACCUAUCUAGGACAAGGAACCGAGGUCCGGAAAAAGGGAAGCAACUUGUCCAAGGACAUAGACGCUAAUCAGUAACAGAGCAGCCGAGAACUCAGGUCUCCUAGCUCUAGUCCAGGGCUCUUUCUCUUGUGAUUUUGGACAACUUGACAGAGAGGCCCCAGCUUAUAAAUCUAUGAAGGUGUCCAGGUCCUGCCAGACUCCGCUGCAUCUUUUGCUUUCACUCCAGCAGGGUAGCAGCAUGCUGCCUGUGCCAAGGCAAUCACUAAAAGGAAAGGAUUUAAUGCUGUCAAAAAAGCUUAUGCCAGCUUAGGCUGCAGGAAGAGGAACAGUGUCAAGUAUGUUGAAAGUGGACAUAUUGGUCAGACCUCCAUGAGAGCCUAGGGGGCAUUGCUUAGCAGCACGCUUUUAAAGGAAUCUGAACAAACCAGCAUGUGGAAAGAAGAGAGUAACCACAGCAAUCAGGAAACAACUGUACAAUCUAGGGCCAUUUCAUUGGAAAAACAGAAGUCUCCAGGGAGCUGCAGUCAUCAAACAGGCUUAUUCUGUGUACCCAGUGGGCAAGUACAGUCAAUGGAUGAAAAUUCAACCAAUGGACAAACACAGGAAGUUUUUCCUUAACAUGAGUUGUCAGAAACUGUCCAAAAUUCCAAAGAGCUGCCUCAAGGUAGUGGAAAUUUUUUUUUUUUUUUAAUCAGGAAGGUGCUGAAUGAAGCCAGCAAGGAUUCUGUGUCAGAGGGUGGUAGAUACCCAGGACAUAAGGUUGAACCACGUGACCUCUGAGACCACAGUUCUAAGCUGUUGAAACCUCAGUCCCUGCUGAAUACUGAAAUGGUAUUAGCACCCUUUAGUCUACAUCAAGAAUUCGUUCUACCCAGUUUUGGUGGUACCAAGACUGAUCUCUUUCUCAUAGAUAAUUCUUAACAGAAUAAAAGCUACAGGUUGAAACCAAUUCCCUUUAAAAUGUGGACAGUUGACCAUCUCCAUGAUAGGUAGUUAGGCACUGAAUUAAUGCUUUUUAAUGGAAGAGCCACCCUAAGAUUCCUGGAGUGUGGUAUAAUGGAGUACUAAAUCAGCAUAGGACUAAUAACUGCCUCCCGUGUAAACUGGUCUAUCCGGAGAGUGGUAUAGCCUCUCAUACAGUGUUCAAAGGCAGAUUUAACUCACUGCAGGUCCACAGCAACCGAUAAGAUAAACUCGUUGGUUAUGGUCUCCCACUUUGCAAAGGAGAGCACAGAGGAAGAGGAAACUGAGAUAACUUGGUUUAGGACCCCACAGCUGGCUGGAGCUGGGCUGAACAUUAGUUCAUUGUUUCUUCGAUUAAUCUAUGCUGCUUUUUCUCUACUUGGCUCCUUUUCUAAAUUAAACAAAACAAAACAAAAAACACUGGGCACAGAGUGGUGUAUAUGUGUGUGAGAGAGAGACAGAGAUAGAGAAAGACUAAGCGAAAGAGAAAAGAGAGAGGCUGAGUGAGAUUCAGAUAAAAUAAGGCACAAGUCAUGGGCUAGUCUGUUGUACAGUGUACUUGUCAUAUAUUUGAAUGCCUUUAACAAUGGAGACAGUUUUGAUGGAAAUAGGGCCUUGAAGAAAUGCAUAUCCGCACCCUGGUGGUAUGUUAUAACUAAACGGGUUGGUUUUUUGUUUCGGAGUUUUUUGGGUUUCUUUUUAAUGCAAAGGUAUAUAUUUAAAAUACCCUGUAGCUUCCUUCUCUCCUUCAUUUCAUUUCCUUAAGUAUGAGAGAGGUUUUCUGGAUGACGGGACAUCCAAACUGGAAGUGCCCUCAGAUCCCAUCAACUCCCAUCCCCAUGUUUGAGAAGCACGUAAAGUAAGCUCCAGAAGAGCUCCCAGACAACGUCGGCACACAAUUAUCAGAGGACUUUUCCCUGAUGGCAGAAAGCUACUGACAUUUCCA
Molecule: long non-coding RNA, 2328 nt
Filed under: Homo sapiens (human)
Lineage: Eukaryota; Metazoa; Chordata; Mammalia; Primates; Hominidae
Description: HSALNT0317641
Source: RNAcentral